GGAGGCGAACGGUGACUGGUGUUGCCCACGGGCUUCAAACCCGUUGAGAGUCUGUAAAGCAGGCUCUGGUGGGUUCGAUUCCCACACGCCUCC
This 93-nucleotide transfer RNA is filed under the name Thermovirga lienii DSM 17291. RNAcentral describes it as "Selenocysteine transfer RNA". It matches the Rfam family "Selenocysteine transfer RNA". Lineage: Bacteria; Thermotogati; Synergistota; Synergistia; Synergistales; Thermovirgaceae. The record is from Rfam by way of RNAcentral.